GCUAGCGUGGCGUAGUGGUUUGAGUGUUGGACUACGACUCUAGAGACCAGGGUUCAAUUCCCAGCUCAGCC
Molecule: transfer RNA, 71 nt
Filed under: Phrynosoma platyrhinos (Desert horned lizard)
Lineage: Eukaryota; Metazoa; Chordata; Lepidosauria; Squamata; Phrynosomatidae
Description: tRNA-OTHER
Source: RNAcentral